Molecule: ribosomal RNA, 409 nt
Filed under: Dermacentor nuttalli
Lineage: Eukaryota; Metazoa; Arthropoda; Arachnida; Ixodida; Ixodidae
Description: partial 16S ribosomal RNA
Source: RNAcentral
UACAAAGGUAUUGUAAUAAGGUUUUAAUUGAAUGCUAAAAGAAUGGAAUUACAGGGAAAAGUUUUUUUAAAUUUAAUAAUUGAAGUUAUUUUAAUUUGUGAAGAAACAAUUAUAUAAAUUAAAGACAAGAAGACCCUAAGAAUUUAAGAAUUUUUAUUAAUAUAUUAUAUGUAUAUAUAUAUAUAAAUAAAAUUCUUAGUUGGGGCAACUAAAAAAUAUAUUAAACUUUUUUUAAAAAAAAUGAUCCAUUAUUAAUGAUAAUAUGAAAAAAAUACUCUAGGGAUAACAGCGUAAUAAUUUUUGAUAGAUCUUAUAGACAAAAUAGUUUGCGACCUCGAUGUUGGAUUAGGAUACUUUUUUAAUGAAGAUGUUAAAAAAAGAAGUUUGUUCAACUUUUAAAUUCCUACAU